AUACGUAGGGGGCGAGCGUUAUCCGGAAUUAUUGGGCGUAAAGAGUGCGUAGGUGGUUUUUUAAGCGCAGGGUUUAAGGCUACAGCUUAACUGUAGUUCGCCCUGCGAACUGAAAGACUUGAGUGCAGGAGGGGACAGCGGAAUUCCUAGUGUAGCGGUGAAAUGCGUAGAUAUUAGGAGGAACACCAGGGGCGAAGGCGGCUUUCUGGACUGAAACUGACACUGAGGCACGAAAGCGUGGGGAGCAAACGGGAUUAGAUACCCUGGUAGUCCACGCCGUAAACGAUGAGCACUAGGUGUCGGGGGGAAGAACCCUCGGUGCCGCAGUUAACGCAAUAAGUGCUCCGCCUGGGGAGUACGCACGCAAGUGUAAAACUCAAAUGAAUUGACGGGG
This 394-nucleotide ribosomal RNA is filed under the name uncultured bacterium. RNAcentral's name for it is "partial 16S ribosomal RNA". It matches the Rfam family "Bacterial small subunit ribosomal RNA", at positions 523 to 918 of the family's 1533-position model. The record is from RNAcentral.